Molecule: ribosomal RNA, 1020 nt
Filed under: Candidatus Kaiserbacteria bacterium
Lineage: Bacteria; Candidatus Kaiseribacteriota
Description: bacterial SSU rRNA
Rfam family: Bacterial small subunit ribosomal RNA
Source: RNAcentral
UUAACUUAGAGUUUGAUCCUAGCUCAGGGUGAACGCUGGCGGCGUGGAUGAGGCAUGCAAGUCGAACGAGCACCAUUAAGGUUGUCUGACCACAGUGGUAAAGAUACCUACGGUGGUUUUGAUCUCUAUAUCGAGACAAAGAUUACUUUAAUGGUGCUCGUGGCAGACGAGGUAGGAACACGUAGGUACGUACCCCGUAGUCAGGAAUAACCCGGCGAAAGUCGGAAUAAUACUUGAUACACUCUUCGGAGGAAAGAUUUAUCGCUAUGGGAACGGCCUGCGUUCUAUCAGCUAGUUGGUACGGUAACGGCGUACCAAGGCAACGACGGAUAGGGGAGGUGAGAGCCUGACCCCCACCGAUGGAACUGAGACACGGUCCAUACUCCUACGGGAGGCCGCAGUCGAGAAUCUUCCGCAAUGGGCGAAAGCCUGACGGAGCGACGCCGCGUGAUUGAUGAAGUCCUUAGGGACGUAAAGAUCUUUUAUGAGGGAGGAAGUUUAUUGACGUUACCUCAUGAAUAAGGGGCUCCCAAUUCUGUGCCAGCAGGAGCGGUAAUACAGAAGCCUCAAGCGUUACCCGGAUUUACUGGGCGUAAAGGGUGUGUAGGUGGUGUGAUUAGUCGGGUGUUAAAUCUCUGGGCUCAACCCAGAGCUCGCAUUCGAAACGGUCACACUAGAGGAAGUGAGAGGUGUGUGGAACUCACGGUGUAGGGGUGAAAUCCGUUGAUAUCGUGGGGAACACCAAAAGCGAAGGCAGCACACUGGCACUUUCCUGACACUGAAACACGAAAGCGUGGGUAGCGAAUCGGAUUAGAUACCCGAGUAGUCCACGCCCUAAACGUUGUCCGCUAGCUAUGAGGAGUAUCGACCCUCUUCGUGGCGAAGCUAACGCGUUAAGCGGACCGCCUGGGUAGUACGAGCGCAACCUUCAUUUCAAGCUCUACCAGGGGUGCUCCACGAAGCGGUGAGAGGUCGAUCACCUUGGAAUUCUUAAGAAUGAGAAAUUCGAGCGGCAUACCU